This is a long non-coding RNA of Rosa rugosa (rugosa rose), 893 nucleotides long. RefSeq lists it as uncharacterized. NCBI's taxonomy places the organism in Eukaryota, Viridiplantae, Streptophyta, Magnoliopsida, Rosales, Rosaceae. The record is from RefSeq and is a predicted model, not a curated record. The transcript is spliced from 3 exons.
CCGCAGAGGAUCAAUAUUUGUUUUUGACUUCACCCUAAAUAACAAAACAUUAUUCCUGUUUCGUUCUUGUGAUGUUUUCUGCAGAUACAAUAUGGUAUAAGGAGGCUAGAUGAGAUUAUUGAUGGGCCUAAUGGUUCAUAUAACACCACAAGCUCUACAUAGGCAGGAAUCCAGGCUGGAAGAUCUUAUCCCAGGCUGUUUCUUUAAGAUGCUUCACGCUGCUUAAUCAGAUAUAGUCAGCAAGUUUCCUGUGGAUAUUGAGCCAUAUGACGAUUGAUAGAGGAAUGAGAAUGGAGAAUUCACAAGUGAAAAUGAGGAAUGGAGCAAGUUAACUAGGAAUUAAGUGGAGCACAUGGCUAUGGGCUACCUAUGAGCCUGUUACUUGUGCAUGAAUGUUUAUAUAUCAGUGCAAGCAGAGGAUUAACUUACGGCAAGCAGGAUGAGCUUGCAAGCAGGGUUCCAGAUUGCUGAAAGGUCUCAGAAAAAUGGAAGGUUAGUGAGGAUUCAAAUUCAGAGAGAAAGGAGGCAUAGAGCUGAGUGAAGCCAGCAGAUGACUUGUAGGCCUCAAAACUCAAAAGUUUAUGGAAACAUGAAAUAAUUAAGUUCUUGGAGGUUUGAUUUUGUAUUUGGUCAUGAACCUCUGACCAUAACUUAUCCUCCUUUUUCCAGCCAUUUGACAUUAGAAAAGAGGAACGAGAAUGGAGAACUUAAAAUUUGAAAUGUGUUGUAGUAUAUAUGAUAGUUUAUAUGUCUAUCUCAUGUAUAGGAUAGGUACUUGAGAAUAAAGAGGGAUGCUUAAGUGUAAAGAUAGGUAUAGUGACUUGUAUGAUGAGCUUUAUGCCAAAGGGGAACAAGCAUGGUUAUCUCUAUCAUCACAGCCACAAUGCCACAUG